RNAcentral lists this ribosomal RNA (560 nucleotides) under Rhodobacterales bacterium HD-OI-02-9. RNAcentral describes it as "bacterial SSU rRNA". It matches the Rfam family "Bacterial small subunit ribosomal RNA", at positions 106 to 702 of the family's 1533-position model. Lineage: Bacteria; Pseudomonadati; Pseudomonadota; Alphaproteobacteria; Rhodobacterales. The record is from RNAcentral.
GUUAGUACGCGUGGGAACGUACCUUUUGCUUCGGAAUAGCCUCGGGAAACUGGGAGUAAUACCGAAUGUGCCCUUUGGGGGAAAGAUUUAUCGGCAAAAGAUCGGCCCGCGUCUGAUUAGAUAGUUGGUGGGGUAAUGGCCUACCAAGUCUGCGAUCAGUAGCUGGUUUGAGAGGAUGAUCAGCAACACUGGGACUGAGACACGGCCCAGACUCCUACGGGAGGCAGCAGUGGGGAAUCUUAGACAAUGGGCGCAAGCCUGAUCUAGCGAUGCCGCGUGAGUGACGAAGGCCUUAGGGUCGUAAAGCUCUUUCGCCAGGGAUGAUAAUGACAGUACCUGGUAAAGAAACCCCGGCUAACUCCGUGCCAGCAGCCGCGGUAAUACGGAGGGGGUUAGCGUUGUUCGGAAUUACUGGGCGUAAAGCGCACGUAGGCGGAUUAGAAAGUUGGGGGUGAAAUCCCAGGGCUCAACCCUGGAACUGCCUCCAAAACUACUAGUCUAGAGUUCGAGAGAGGUGAGUGGAAUUCCGAGUGUAGAGGUGAAAUUCGUAGAUAUUCGGA